This 301-nucleotide ribosomal RNA is filed under the name uncultured bacterium. RNAcentral's name for it is "partial 16S ribosomal RNA". It matches the Rfam family "Bacterial small subunit ribosomal RNA", at positions 509 to 807 of the family's 1533-position model. The record is from RNAcentral.
CAGUAGCCGCGGUAAUACGUAAGGUGCGAGCGUUAAUCGGAAUUACUGGGCGUAAAGCGUGCGCAGGCGGUUGUGUAAGACAGGUGUGAAAUCCCCGGGCUUAACCUGGGAACUGCGCUUGUGACUGCACAGCUAGAGUAUGGCAGAGGGGGGUGGAAUUCCACGUGUAGCAGUGAAAUGCGUAGAGAUGUGGAGGAACACCGAUGGCGAAGGCAGCCCCCUGGGCCAAUACUGACGCUCAUGCACGAAAGCGUGGGGAGCAAACAGGAUUAGAGACCCCCGUAGUCCCUGUCUCUUAUAC